AUAUGAUUGGUGACUCAUAAUAACUUUACGGAUCACAAUUAAUGUGACAUAUCAUUCAAGUUUCUGACCUAUCAGCUUUAGACGGUAGGGUAUUGGCCUACCGUGGCAAUGACGGGUAACGGGGAAUUAGGGUUCGAUUCCGGAGAGGGAGCCUGAGAAACGGCUACCACAUCUAAGGAAGGCGGCAGGCGCGCAAAUUACCCAAUCCUAAUACAGGGAGGUAGUGACAAGAAAUAACAAUACAGGACUUUUUGGUUUUGUAAUUGGAAUGAGUUAAGUAUAAACCCCUUUACAAGUAUCAAUUGGAGGGCAAGUCUGGUGCCAGCAGCCGCGGUAAUUCCAGCUCCAAUAGCGUAUAUUAAAGUUGUUGCAGUUAAAAAGCUCGUAGUUGGAUUUCUGUUAAUAAUUUAUAUAAAAUAUUUUGAUGAAUAUUUAUAUAAUAUUAACAUAAUUCAUAUUACUAUUUUUUUUAGUAUAUGAAAUUUUACUUUGAGAAAAUUAGAGUGCUUAAAGCAGGCAUAUGCCUUGAAUACUCCAGCAUGGAAUAAUAUUAAAGAUUUUUAUCUUUUUUAUUGGUUCUAAGAUAAGAAUAAUGAUUAAUAGGGACAGUUGGGGGCAUUUGUAUUUAACAGUCAGAGGUGAAAUUCUUAGAUUUGUUAAAGACAAACUAAUGCGAAAGCAUUUGCCAAGGAUGUUUUCAUUAAUCAAGAACGAAAGUUAGGGGAUCGAAGACGAUCAGAUACCGUCGUAGUCUUAACCAUAAACUAUGCCAGCUAG
This 777-nucleotide ribosomal RNA is filed under the name Cryptosporidium parvum. RNAcentral describes it as "SSU rRNA". It matches the Rfam family "Eukaryotic small subunit ribosomal RNA", at positions 237 to 1049 of the family's 1831-position model. Lineage: Eukaryota; Apicomplexa; Conoidasida; Eucoccidiorida; Cryptosporidiidae. The record is from RNAcentral.